This 497-nucleotide ribosomal RNA is filed under the name uncultured bacterium. RNAcentral describes it as "partial 16S ribosomal RNA". It matches the Rfam family "Bacterial small subunit ribosomal RNA", at positions 28 to 507 of the family's 1533-position model. The record is from RNAcentral.
GAUGAACGCUGGCGGCGUGCCUAAUACAUGCAAGUAGAACGCGGAAGGGAGGAUCUUGCUCUUUCCGGGUGAGUUGCGCACGAGUGAGUAACGCGUGGGUGACCUCCCUGGUAGCGGGGGAUAACUAUUAGACACGAUAGCUAAUAGCACAAAACAGAAGAUGUUGCAUGAUGUCUUCUUAAAAGGUUCGAUUGCUCCACUACCAGAUGGAUCUGCGUGCUAUUAGCUAGUUGGUGUGGUAACGGAUUACCAAGGCGACGAUACAUAGCCGACCUGAGAGGAUGAUCAGCCGCACUGGGACGGGGACACGGCCCAGACUCCUGCGGGAGGCAGCAGUAGGGAUUCUUCGGGAAUGGGCGGAAGUCUGACCGAGGAACGCGGCGAGAGUGUAGAGGGGUUUCGGAUCGUAGAGGUAGGUUGUAAGCGAGGAGCGAGCGUGAGAGUGGAAAGAUCACACUGUGACGGUAUCUGACCAGAAAGGGACGGCUAACUACGUG